RNAcentral lists this ribosomal RNA (253 nucleotides) under uncultured bacterium. Its description in RNAcentral is "partial 16S ribosomal RNA". It matches the Rfam family "Bacterial small subunit ribosomal RNA", at positions 524 to 776 of the family's 1533-position model. The record is from RNAcentral.
UACGGGGGGGGCAAGCGUUGUUCGGAAUUACUGGGCGUAAAGGGCGCGUAGGCGGCCUGCUAAGUCGAACGUGAAAUCCCUGGGCUCAACCCAGGAACUGCGUCCGAUACUGGUUGGCUUGAGUUUGGGAGAGGGAUGCGGAAUUCCAGGUGUAGCGGUGAAAUGCGUAGAUAUCUGGAGGAACACCGGUGGCGAAGGCGGCAUCCUGGACCAAUACUGACGCUGAGGAGCGAAAGCCAGGGGAGCAAACGGG